Molecule: long non-coding RNA, 1999 nt
Organism: Chrysemys picta bellii (western painted turtle)
Lineage: Eukaryota; Metazoa; Chordata; Testudines; Emydidae
Source: RefSeq, a predicted model, not a curated record
AUCUAGUGCUCGCUGCAUUUGAGAGAGAGAGACACACACACAGUACUACAGCUGCUGUCUAAUGGAUUAUUCAUUAGCAUAAAAUGGGCUUUUAAAAACUAUUUUCAGAGUUUUCCCAUGUUUUCUGGGAUGUAUGUCUGCAGAAAAAUCUCUUAUUGGAUGUAGCUUUAUGUUUACCCACAACAGGAAGCUGAAUGCAUUCUAUCAGUAGAAGGAUCUCGGAAAUUCAUUGGAGAGAUUGUGUAACCAACGUUGAAGUGUUGUGCUGCAUGGGUCAGCAGAUUGUGGACUCGAUUAUACAGAGAUGGUGUGAUGGGAUGUUUGCCCCACACAGGUGAAGAAAGGGUUAACCUCAUUAAGAGCAGUGAAGGUGAGUCCUCCAAAUGGCCCAGAGAGGCUGUGUGAGGUGCAGCCAAUAGGAGGGAGGCUGCAAUUAGCAGCCAAUCACGUCCCAGCAGGCUCACAUAAAAGGAGCUGCAGGGGUAAGGAGUGUGAGGCUGAGAGAAAGCUAGCACCCUGGACAGGUCAGUUGCUGCCAGGGACCAGCAACAAGAGAGAGCUCCUGGUAGGCUGCAGGAAUUGAGUAGCUGAGUGCCCUGAGGUAAGGGUGAAGAAGGUGCUGGGGCCGUGGAGAAGUGGCCCAGGGGAUCAGAGCAGUGGUGAGAGGAACUAGAGGCGCAGCAGGAGGCUGCCAUCUACAGGGUCCCUCCAUGAUAGAUGGAUACAUGGUUUAGCCAUGUCAUCAGGCACCUGAAGCACAAGGUGCCUGGUUGAAAGCCCAUUGAAGUCAAUGGUACGUCCCUGCAACAUCUAGCUACAACAGAAGACUCAGCUACAGGUGAAGUUUCAGCCUACAAGUCAUUUCUUUAAAUAAUGGCGCCCGCUGUAUGGACUCAAGAUGCAGUUGUUCCGGUUUUCUAGGAAUAUUGCACUUUGCAUAGAAUUCUUAUUGUUCAUGAAAGUCCAAUUUCAAUGAUAAUACACAAGACUGACUGAAACCAGUGGUGUGACUGGUCACCUAAGUGUCAUUGUAUUGGUUCGGUUCCCUGACUGGAUGACUGCACUUUUUAAUCAGAAGAUUAAUGAAUAGUGAAUAACCAAUACUGUUGUGCAUUCAUGAAUACCCUUGUUCCCGUGACUACAGGUAUUUGUAUGAAAAUCAGCCAUUUCUCCAAUAGCCAUAGGAACGAAACCUCAUUGAAUGGCAAACAAAAAUGAGCACAAAGUUGAUGGCAGCAAACAACUGUUCUGAAAUUAUAUGAAAGUUCAUGAACUUGGUUUUACCAUAUCUGCCUAACCCUAUUACUAAACACAGCAGCUUAGGCUGGAGCUGUCUCUUUAUAUGUGUUUCUACAGAGCCCUCCAUAAUAGAACCUUUCAUCAUAAGUGCUUUAGGUGCUAUGAUAAUAAUAUCUAUUGUUUAAUAUGUUUUUUCUGCUUAUCAAUUCUGAAUUUAACCAGCCUCAUAACCCAGCUGAGGAGUAAUAUCUGUGUAGUUAAAAUAGAAUUGGAGUGUACAACUGUUAGGGAGGCAGAGUGGUGCUGUGUCAAGGGCUCAGGACUAGGAAUCAGAAGAAUGUGUUCUAUUUUUAGCUCUGUCCCUAAAUUACUAGGAUCCCAUUGCUUGGACCUGCUCACUCAACCUUAGAGCUAGUCAGAAAAACCUCAACAGAACAAUUUUGUUAUUGGAAAAUCAAAACACUGAGUAAAAAUAUAUCGGUUUUGCUGAAAUUUCAUUUUGGAGAAAAAAACUGGGGGUGGGGAGAAGUGAGGGGAGUUCUGACAGUGUCACAACCUCCUGGUUCAACAUUUUCAGAAUGAAACAUUUAUAUUUUUUCCUUUUUUAAUGGCUCUUUGUUUUGAAAUAGUUUAUUUUGUAUUGGUUUUUCACAAUACGAUGCACUUUAAAAAAAAAGUCAAAAUUGAAAUGAAGCAUUUCAAUUGAUUGGAAGCAAAAACAUGUUCAGGAUUGUCUUUCUAGGAACAUUUCAGAAUGUUA